RNAcentral lists this ribosomal RNA (250 nucleotides) under uncultured bacterium. RNAcentral describes it as "partial 16S ribosomal RNA". It matches the Rfam family "Bacterial small subunit ribosomal RNA", at positions 524 to 773 of the family's 1533-position model. The record is from RNAcentral.
UACGAAGGGGGCGAGCGUUGUUCGGAUUUACUGGGCGUAAAGGGCGCGCAGGCGGCUUAUUUUGUCAGGCGUGAAAGCCCCGGGCUUAACCUGGGAACUGCGUUUGAUACGGAUGGGCUAGAGUUCGGGAGAGGAGAGUGGAAUUCCCAGUGUAGAGGUGAAAUUCGUAGAUAUUGGGAAGAACACCGGUGGCGAAGGCGGCUCUCUGGACCGAGACUGACGCUGAGGCGCGAAAGCGUGGGGAGCAAAC